AUGCUUGGCAAUGGGGGUGAAGGGGUGUCAGAGAUUUCUGGGUGGAAGCCCCUUCCUGUAACAGACACGGCUGGCUUCCCCAUCCAAGGCCCAUCUCUGCUACAAAUGCGUGAAUGCCUGCGAGCAAGAACACACCAACGGAGGAACCUGGAGGGCCUCUGCCAGUCCUCUGUGCUGGAUCUGUUCCUCGCUGUCUCCUCUCAGCCAGGAGCUCUCAUGGGCCUGUUGUCAGGAACAGCCACAGAGGUCUGCAGGGCCUGGGAGAGAGUCGCUGCUGUUGCCUUUCUUCUGCAGGAGCUCAGCUUCUGGCCAGGGGAGGAGACACUGAAUCCCACACCAAGCAGGGAGUGGAAACUCACUGGCUGGACCUGCCUCUCACGCAAAGGAUCCCCUGGAGGCAACCCGAGAUCGGUUCUCCUCCCCGCAUUCCGCCAAGUCUCUCGCUCUGCCUAUGGCAUCCAGAUGACAGCACUCCACAGAUUGUCGGAUACAACAAAAGUACUAAGAAAGACCAGAGGCCAGGCUGGGAGAAGCCGAUUUCGAGCCGCCACGUGGAGAUCCGCUAGGGACGAUGAGCCCGGCCUAGCGGUAGUCGCUGGAAGAGCCGUCGGAGUCGCUCACGGUUAG
RNAcentral lists this long non-coding RNA (627 nucleotides) under Callithrix jacchus (white-tufted-ear marmoset). Its description in RNAcentral is "lncRNA (ENSCJAG00000082422.1)". The record is from RNAcentral. Lineage: Eukaryota; Metazoa; Chordata; Mammalia; Primates; Cebidae.